GACGUAGGGCGCGAGCGUUGUCCGGAUUUAUUGGGCGUAAAGAGCUCGUAGGCGGCUUGUCGCGUCGACCGUGAAAACUUGGGGCUCAACCCCAAGCCUGCGGUCGAUACGGGCAGGCUCGAGUUCGGUAGGGGAGACUGGAAUUCCUGGUGUAGCGGUGAAAUGCGCAGAUAUCAGGAGGAACACCGGUGGCGAAGGCGGUUCUCUGGGCCGAUACUGACGCUGAGGAGCGAAAGCGUGGGGAGCGAACAGG
Molecule: ribosomal RNA, 253 nt
Filed under: uncultured bacterium
Lineage: Bacteria
Description: partial 16S ribosomal RNA
Rfam family: Bacterial small subunit ribosomal RNA
Source: RNAcentral